This 489-nucleotide ribosomal RNA is filed under the name uncultured bacterium. Its description in RNAcentral is "bacterial SSU rRNA". It matches the Rfam family "Bacterial small subunit ribosomal RNA", at positions 8 to 507 of the family's 1533-position model. The record is from RNAcentral.
AGAGUUUGAUCAUGGCUCAGAUUGAACGCUGGCGGCAUGCCUUACACAUGCAAGUCGAACGGCAGCGCGGGGCAACCUGGCGGCGAGUGGCGAACGGGUGAGUAAUAUAUCGGAACGUGCCCUGGAGUGGGGGAUAACGUAGCGAAAGUUACGCUAAUACCACAUACGAUCCAAGGAUGAAAGCAAUACCGUGGGUAUUGCGCUCCUGGAUGGGCUCAUGUCCUAUCAGCUUGUUGGUGAGGUAACGGCUCACCAAGGCUUCGACGGGUAGCUGGUCUGAGAGGACGAUCAGCCACACUGGCACUGCGACACGGGCCAGACUCCUACGGGAGGCAGCAGUAAGGAAUAUUGCGCAAUGGACGAAAGUCUGACGCAGCGACGCCGCGUGGGGGAUGAAGGUCUUCGGAUUGUAAACCCCUUUCGGGAGGGAAGAUGGAGUGGGUAACCACUUGGACGGUACCUCCAGAAGCAGCCACGGCUAACUUCGUG